UACAGAGGUGGCAAGCGUUGCUCGGUAUCACUGGGCUUAAAGGGCGCGUAGGCGGUGCGGUGCGGUUUCGGUGAAAUCCCUCGGCCCAACCGAGGAACAGCCGGGGCUACGGCCGCGCUAGACGGCAUCAGGGGACAGUGGAACUCCCGGUGGAGCGGUGAAAUGCGUAGAUAUCGGGAGGAACGCCGGUGGCGAAAGCGACUGUCUGGGGUGCUUGUGACGCUGAGGCGCGAAAGCCAGGGGAUCAAACGGG
Molecule: ribosomal RNA, 253 nt
Filed under: uncultured bacterium
Lineage: Bacteria
Description: partial 16S ribosomal RNA
Rfam family: Bacterial small subunit ribosomal RNA
Source: RNAcentral